This 248-nucleotide ribosomal RNA is filed under the name uncultured bacterium. Its description in RNAcentral is "partial 16S ribosomal RNA". It matches the Rfam family "Bacterial small subunit ribosomal RNA", at positions 523 to 769 of the family's 1533-position model. The record is from RNAcentral.
AUACGUAGGGGGCAAGCGUUGUCCGGAAUGAUUGGGCGUAAAGGGCGCGUAGGCGGCCUGGUAAGUCUGGAGUGAAAGUCCUGCUUUUAAGGUGGGAAUUCGCUUUGGAUACUGUCGGGCUUGAGUGCAGGAGAGGUAAGUGGAAUUCCCGGUGUAGCGGUGAAAUGCGUAGAGAUCGGGAGGAACACCAGUGGCGAAGGCGACUUACUGGACUGUAACUGACGCUGAGGCGCGAAAGUGUGGGGAGC